GCCCGCUCAGAAACUUAAAGGAAGUUGACGGGGCCCGGCACAAGCGGUGGAGUAUGUGGUUAAUUCGAUGCAACGCGAAGAACCUUACCUGGUCUUGACAUCCCGGAGACCCUUAGGAAACUAGGGGGUGCUUCCAUCUGGAAGAAUCUGGAGACAGGUGCUGCAUGGCUGUCGUCAGCUCGUGUCGUGAGAUGUUGGGUUAAGUCCCGCAACGAGCGCAACCCUUGCCUUUAGUUGCCAGCAGUUCGGCUGGGCACUCUAAAGGGACUGCCGGUGUUAAACCGGAGGAAGGUGGGGAUGACGUCAAGUCCUCAUGGCCUUUAUGACCAGGGCUACACACGUACUACAAUGGCCGAUACAAAGGGCAGCGACACUGCGAGGUGAAGCCAAUCCCGUAAAAUCGGUCUCAGUCCGGAUUGGAGUCUGCAACUCGACUCCAUGAAGUUGGAAUCGCUAGUAAUCGUGGAUCAGCAUGCCACGGUGAAUACGUUCCCGGGCCUU
This 501-nucleotide ribosomal RNA is filed under the name uncultured Desulfobulbus sp. Its description in RNAcentral is "bacterial SSU rRNA". It matches the Rfam family "Bacterial small subunit ribosomal RNA", at positions 887 to 1382 of the family's 1533-position model. The record is from RNAcentral. Lineage: Bacteria; Pseudomonadati; Thermodesulfobacteriota; Desulfobulbia; Desulfobulbales; Desulfobulbaceae.